Molecule: ribosomal RNA, 520 nt
Filed under: uncultured bacterium
Lineage: Bacteria
Description: bacterial SSU rRNA
Rfam family: Bacterial small subunit ribosomal RNA
Source: RNAcentral
GGGAAUCUACCUUUUGCUACGGAAUAACUCAGGGAAACUUGUGCUAAUACCGUAUGUGCCCUUCGGGGGAAAGAUUUAUCGGCAAAGGAUGAGCCCGCGUUGGAUUAGGUAGUUGGUGGGGUAAUGGCCUACCAAGCCGACGAUCCAUAGCUGGUCUGAGAGGAUGAUCAGCCACAUUGGGACUGAGACACGGCCCAAACUCCUACGGGAGGCAGCAGUGGGGAAUAUUGGACAAUGGGCGCAAGCCUGAUCCAGCCAUGCCGCGUGAGUGAUGAAGGCCCUAGGGUUGUAAAGCUCUUUCACCGGUGAAGAUAAUGACGGUAACCGGAGAAGAAGCCCCGGCUAACUUCGUGCCAGCAGCCGCGGUAAUACGAAGGGGGCUAGCGUUGUUCGGAAUUACUGGGCGUAAAGCGCACGUAGGCGGAUACUUAAGUUAGGGGUGAAAUCCCAGGGCUCAACCCUGGAACUGCCUCUAAUACUGGGUAUCUUGAGUUCGAGAGAGGUGAGUGGAAUUCCGAGU